This 721-nucleotide long non-coding RNA is filed under the name Mytilus galloprovincialis (Mediterranean mussel). Lineage: Eukaryota; Metazoa; Mollusca; Bivalvia; Mytilida; Mytilidae. The record is from RNAcentral.
GAAAAAAUGAAUAUUCCAAUUUGAUUUGAAGAAAAUCUUUUUGAACUGUCAUGACAUGGUGUUGCAAAGCUGAUUACAGGUAACUAUAACAUACAGUAAUUUUCCAUUACGACAGUGCGUGUAUUCUCGGGUGUGUAUAACGUAUAGUUUUCUAGAGAACAUCCUGUCUACGUGUAAUACAGAUUGAUGACAUUAUACAACAUUUCUUUGGUUAAAUGUGAUAAGGUAUCUGUGUCCAUUCCCUAUUUCAACACCACUAAUUUUUCGAAGAAAAAAAAUCAAAAAAAAAAUUAUAUGAAAUUAAGAAGAAAAGUAGCAAAUAUAAACUUCAGUAAUUGCGCAUUGAGUAAACAUAAUUCCAAUAUUGCAUGAACAAAUCCGUGAGAAAACGUAUAUAUACAUGUAUGAAUAAAGAUGUGUUUUAAAAGACCUAUUGGCAUUAUUUCACACUAGGACCUAAGAUAACUAGAACUAAGCAAUGGUUGAUCCAGAAAUUUUCAUAAGUGGGGACUCAUUGACUGCCUUAGAGGGGUCACGUCCAGUCAUGCUUCCGUGAUUCCCUAUAUAAUCUACCAUUUGUUUCCCAAGAUUUAGGAGGGGGCUGGUACACACAUAUAUAUAUAAAUAUACCUCUGCGGCGGAGCCAGCCAUUUGAAAAGGAAGGGGGUCUCAACCCAGGACAAAAGGGGGAGGGGGUGGUUCCAACCAUAUGUCCCCAUUC